UGGGUCCUACGGGAGGCAGCAGUGAGGAAUAUUGGUCAAUGGACGAAAGUCUGAACCAGCCGUGCCGCGUGCAGGAAGACGGCUCUAUGAGUUGUAAACUGCUUUUGUACAAGGGUAAACCUGAAUACGUGUAUUCAGCUGAAAGUACUGUACGAAUAAGGAUCGGCUAACUCCGUGCCAGCAGCCGCGGUAAUACGGAGGAUCCAAGCGUUAUCCGGAUUUAUUGGGUUUAAAGGGUGCGUAGGCGGAUUGAUAAGUCAGAGGUGAACUGUCCGGGCUCAACUCGGGCACUGCCUCUAAUACUU
This 305-nucleotide ribosomal RNA is filed under the name uncultured bacterium. RNAcentral describes it as "bacterial SSU rRNA". It matches the Rfam family "Bacterial small subunit ribosomal RNA", at positions 333 to 635 of the family's 1533-position model. The record is from RNAcentral.